CAUAAAUUGAAAAGUGGCAUCAUUCUUUGGAUGUGAGAUAUUUUGUUGUUUUGCCUAUUUGCUCAUUUGCUUAGAUGUGAUCUAUAUUCUCAAAUGUUCUAAUAUUGUAGGGAGAUGGAUGAUGUCCAAGAAAUUGAACAAAGGUCCCAACCACAAAUUUUCUGGACACAAGAAAUGUCUGCAUGUGCUUUGAAAUAUUUGGCCCAGUUGGUUGCUGAUGGAAUUCGAGUAGACAAAGGAUUCAAAAGCUCGCACUAUAAUCAAUGUGCUAAAGUGGUGAAGGAAAGAUUUCAGGUUCAAGUUUCUGGUUCUCAAGUUACUAAUCAUCUUAAGACAUGGAGAACUCGCUGGUCAAACAUAUGCAAUUAUAAGAAGAUUAGCUCAGCCCAUUUUGAUGAGCAAACUGGAACAAUAUUGCUUGAUGAGAAGAACUACUUGGAACGGGUGCAGGUGUGUAUAUAUUUA
RNAcentral lists this unclassified non-coding RNA (465 nucleotides) under Zea mays. Its description in RNAcentral is "misc RNA Zm00001eb419250". Lineage: Eukaryota; Viridiplantae; Streptophyta; Magnoliopsida; Poales; Poaceae. The record is from RNAcentral.